CAGCCGCCGCGGUAAUACGGAGGGUGCAAGCGUUAAUCGGAAUUACUGGGCGUAAAGCGCACGCAGGCGGUCUGUCAAGUCAGAUGUGAAAUCCCCGGGCUUACCUGGGAACUGCAUUUGAAACUGGCAGGCUAGAGUCUUGUAGAGGGGGGUAGAAUUCCAGGUGUAGCGGUGAAAUGCGUAGAGAUCUGGAGGAAUACCGGUGGCGAAGGCGGCCCCCUGGACAAAGACUGACGCUCAGGUGCGAAAGCGUGGGGAGCAAACAGGAUUAGAUACCCGCGUAGUCCCUGUCUCUUAUACA
This 301-nucleotide ribosomal RNA is filed under the name uncultured bacterium. Its description in RNAcentral is "partial 16S ribosomal RNA". It matches the Rfam family "Bacterial small subunit ribosomal RNA", at positions 509 to 808 of the family's 1533-position model. The record is from RNAcentral.